Lacerta agilis (Sand lizard) is the source of this 547-nucleotide long non-coding RNA. RefSeq lists it as uncharacterized. The record is from RefSeq and is a predicted model, not a curated record. The transcript is spliced from 5 exons. NCBI's taxonomy places the organism in Eukaryota, Metazoa, Chordata, Lepidosauria, Squamata, Lacertidae.
AUCAGAGCUAUAGUAGUUAGCUGAGGAAAGCCUUACAAGCCAGUACUGAAACAGAACACAGAGUAGUUAGCUGAGAGUUAGUGGAAGGACACCCAUGUCUGAAGGUAUUUUGUAUACCAGCAAAAGGCACCACAGGAUCAACCCAGCCAAAUCCCUAUGAGGACAUCUGUAAGGUGUGAUGAAAAAAGGUCUCAAUACUUGGAAGUCAAAUGUUCCUAAUGGGCUUUGCCAACCCAAUUUCUUAAGGAUGGCACGGGGUUUGCUGUUUUCCCGUGAGGCCUCCAGGGUCACAUCACGCUUGGUGUUGCGAUCAAACAUUCUGAAGAAAUUGUUGUAGGAGCCGGUCAUGAUGACACUGAGGAGCAAGCAAAGAGAAUGGGGUGAGAACAGAAAUCAAAUCAGGUGUCUGGAUCAGAGUGACCACUACUUCCACAGCAAAAUCCCUGUCCUCACACCCCCAAGUAAGAGAUAGGAAAUCUGUGACCCUCCAAAUGCAGCUGGACUCCAAAUCCCAUCACUACCAGCCAGCAUUGCCAAUAGCAAGGGA